ACUCCUACGGGAGGCAGCAGUGGGAAUAUUGCACAAUGGGCGCAAGCCUGAUGCAGCCAUGCCGCGUGUGUGAAGAAGGCCUUCGGGUUGUAAAGCACUUUCAGUCGUGAGGAAGGUAGUGUAGUUAAUAGCUGCAUUAUUUGACGUUAGCGACAGAAGAAGCACCGGCUAACUCCGUGCCAGCAGCCGCGGUAAUACGGAGGGUGCGAGCGUUGUCCGGAUUUAUUGGGUUUAAAGGGUGCGUAGGCGGCCUGUUAAGUCAGUGGUGAAAGGUAUCAGCUCAACUGAUGACGUGCCAUUGAAACUGGCGGGCUUGAGUACAGACGAGGUAGGCGGAAUUUAUGGUGUAGCGGUGAAAUGCAUAGAUACCAUAAAGAACACCGAUAGCGAAGGCAGCUUACUAGGCUGAGACUGACGCUGAGGCACGAAAGCGUGGGGAGCGAACAGGAUUAGAUACCCUGGUAGCCU
RNAcentral lists this ribosomal RNA (468 nucleotides) under uncultured bacterium. RNAcentral describes it as "bacterial SSU rRNA". It matches the Rfam family "Bacterial small subunit ribosomal RNA", at positions 335 to 796 of the family's 1533-position model. The record is from RNAcentral.